GUGGGGAAUAUUGGACAAUGGGCGAAAGCCUGAUCCAGCAAUGCCGCGUGAGUGAUGAAGGCCCUAGGGUUGUAAAGCUCUUUUACCAGGGAUGAUAAUGACAGUACCUGGAGAAUAAGCUCCGGCUAACUCCGUGCCAGCAGCCGCGGUAAUACGGAGGGAGCUAGCGUUGUUCGGAUAUACUGGGCGUAAAGCGCACGUAGGCGGCGCAGCAAGUCAGGGGUGAAAUCCCGGAGCUCAACUCCGGAACUGCCCUUGAAACUGCAGUGCUAGAAUCUUGGAGAGGCGAGUGGAAUUCCGAGUGUAGAGGUGAAAUUCGUAGAUAUUCGGAAGAACACCAGUGGCGAAGGCGACUCGCUGGACAAGUAUUGACGCUGAGGUGCGAAAGCGUGGGGAGCAAACAGGAUUAGAAACCCCGGUAGUCC
This 425-nucleotide ribosomal RNA is filed under the name uncultured bacterium. Its description in RNAcentral is "bacterial SSU rRNA". It matches the Rfam family "Bacterial small subunit ribosomal RNA", at positions 354 to 796 of the family's 1533-position model. The record is from RNAcentral.